UGGGGAAUUUUCCGCAAUGGGCGAAAGCCUGACGGAGCAACGCCGCGUGAGGGAGGAAGGUCUUUGGAUUGUAAACCUCUUUUCUCAAGGAAGAAGUUCUGACGGUACUUGAGGAAUCAGCCUCGGCUAACUCCGUGCCAGCAGCCGCGGUAAUACGGGGGAGGCAAGCGUUAUCCGGAAUUAUUGGGCGUAAAGCGUCCGCAGGUGGUCAGCCAAGUCUGCCGUCAAAUCAGGUUGCUUAACGACCUAAAGGCGGUGGAAACUGGCAGACUAGAGAGCAGUAGGGGUAGCAGGAAUUCCCAGUGUAGCGGUGAAAUGCGUAGAGAUUGGGAAUAACAUCGGUGGCGAAAGCGUGCUACUGGGCUGUAUCUGACACUCAGGGACGAAAGCUAGGGGAGCGAAAGGG
RNAcentral lists this ribosomal RNA (406 nucleotides) under bacterium. RNAcentral's name for it is "partial 16S ribosomal RNA". It matches the Rfam family "Bacterial small subunit ribosomal RNA", at positions 355 to 776 of the family's 1533-position model. The record is from RNAcentral.